This 253-nucleotide ribosomal RNA is filed under the name uncultured bacterium. RNAcentral's name for it is "partial 16S ribosomal RNA". It matches the Rfam family "Bacterial small subunit ribosomal RNA", at positions 524 to 776 of the family's 1533-position model. RNAcentral also lists the same sequence under 1 other name. The record is from RNAcentral.
UACAGAGGGUGCGAGCGUUAAUCGGAUUUACUGGGCGUAAAGGGCGCGUAGGCGGUUUAAUGAGUGUGAUGUGAAAGCCCUGGGCUCAACCUAGGAAGUGCAUCGCAAACGAUUGAACUGGAGUAUAUGAGAGGGUGGUGGAAUUUCCGGUGUAGCAGUGAAAUGCGUAGAGAUCGGAAAGAACGUCGAUGGCGAAGGCAGCCACCUGGCAUAAUACUGACGCUGAGGCGCGAAAGCGUGGGGAUCAAACAGG